RNAcentral lists this ribosomal RNA (423 nucleotides) under uncultured Glomeraceae. Its description in RNAcentral is "SSU rRNA". It matches the Rfam family "Eukaryotic small subunit ribosomal RNA", at positions 459 to 886 of the family's 1831-position model. Lineage: Eukaryota; Fungi; Glomeromycota; Glomeromycetes; Glomerales; Glomeraceae. The record is from RNAcentral.
GGGAGGUAGUGACAAUAAAUAACAAUACGGGGCUCUUUCGGGUCUCGUAAUUGGAAUGAGUACAAUUUAAAUCUCUUAACGAGGAACAAUUGGAGGGCAAGUCUGGUGCCAGCAGCCGCGGUAAUUCCAGCUCCAAUAGCGUAUAUUAAAGUUGUUGCAGUUAAAAAGCUCGUAGUUGAAUUUCGGGGUCAGCAGGUUGGUCGUGCCACUGGUAUGCACUGGCUUCGCUGAUUCCUCCUUUCUGAAGAACUGUAAUGCCAUUAAUUUGGUGUUGCAGGGAAACAGGACUGUUACUUUGAAAAAAUUAGAGUGUUUAAAGCAAGCACGCGCUUGAAUACAUUAGCAUGGAAUAAUGAAAUAGGACGUUCGAUUCUAUUUUGUUGGUUUCUAGGAUCAACGUAAUGAUUAAUAGGGAUAGUUGGG